GUUGUAUGGUUAAGUGACUAAGCGUACACGGUGGAUGCCUGGGCAGUCAGAGGCGAUGAAGGACGUACUAACUUGCGAUAAGCGCAGAUAAGGCAGUAAGAGCCGUUUGAGUCUGCGAUUUCCGAAUGGGGAAACCCAACUGCAUAAGCAGUUACUGUUAACUGAAUACAUAGGUUAACAGAGCAAACCGGGGGAACUGAAACAUCUAAGUACCCCGAGGAGAAGAAAUCAACCGAGAUUCCGGUAGUAGCGGCGAGCGAACCUGGAUUAGCCCUUAAGCACUCGGUGAAGUAGGUGAACAAGCUGGAAAGCUUGGCGAUACAGGGUGAUAGCCCCGUAACCGACGCUUCAUCGAGCGUGAAAUCGAGUAGGGCGGGACACGUGAUAUCCUGUCUGAAUAUGGGGGGACCAUCCUCCAAGGCUAAAUACUCCUGACUGACCGAUAGUGAACCAGUACCGUGAGGGAAAGGCGAAAAGACCCCUGUGAGGGGAGUGAAAUAGAACCUGAAACCGUGUACGUACAAGCAGUAGGAGCACCUUCGUGGUGUGACUGCGUACCUUUUGUAUAAUGGGUCAGCGACUUAUAUUCAGUGGCAAGGUUAACCGUAUAGGGGAGCCGUAGCGAAAGCGAGUCUUAACUGGGCGCUCAGUCUCUGGAUAUAGACCCGAAACCGGGUGAUCUAGCCAUGGGCAGGUUGAAGGUUGAGUAACAUCAACUGGAGGACCGAACCGACUAAUGUUGAAAAAUUAGCGGAUGACUUGUGGCUAGGGGUGAAAGGCCAAUCAAACUCGGAGAUAGCUGGUUCUCCCCGAAAGCUAUUUAGGUAGCGCCUCGGACGAAUACUACUGGGGGUAGAGCACUGUUAAGGCUAGGGGGUCAUCCCGACUUACCAACCCUUUGCAAACUCCGAAUACCAGUAAGUACUAUCCGGGAGACACACGGCGGGUGCUAACGUCCGUCGUGGAGAGGGAAACAACCCAGACCGCCAGCUAAGGUCCCAAAGUAUUGCUAAGUGGGAAACGAUGUGGGAAGGCUCAGACAGCUAGGAUGUUGGCUUAGAAGCAGCCAUCAUUUAAAGAAAGCGUAAUAGCUCACUAGUCGAGUCGGCCUGCGCGGAAGAUGUAACGGGGCUAAGCAAUACACCGAAGCUGCGGCAAUGUCUUUUAGACAUUGGGUAGGGGAGCGUUCUGUAAGCCGUUGAAGGUGAAUCGUAAGGUUUGCUGGAGGUAUCAGAAGUGCGAAUGCUGACAUGAGUAACGACAAAGGGGGUGAAAAACCUCCUCGCCGGAAGACCAAGGGUUCCUGUCCAACGUUAAUCGGGGCAGGGUGAGUCGACCCCUAAGGUGAGGCCGAAAGGCGUAAUCGAUGGGAAACGGGUUAAUAUUCCCGUACUUCUGACUAUUGCGAUGGGGGGACGGAGAAGGCUAGGUGGGCCAGGCGACGGUUGUCCUGGUUCAAGUGCGUAGGCUUGAGAGUUAGGUAAAUCCGGCUCUCUCUAAGGCUGAGACACGACGUCGAGCUACUACGGUAGUGAAGUCAUUGAUGCCAUGCUUCCAGGAAAAGCCUCUAAGCUUCAGAUAGUCAGGAAUCGUACCCCAAACCGACACAGGUGGUCGGGUAGAGAAUACCAAGGCGCUUGAGAGAACUCGGGUGAAGGAACUAGGCAAAAUGGUACCGUAACUUCGGGAGAAGGUACGCUCUUGAUGGUGAAGUCCCUCGCGGAUGGAGCUGACGAGAGUCGCAGAUACCAGGUGGCUGCAACUGUUUAUUAAAAACACAGCACUGUGCAAAAUCGCAAGAUGACGUAUACGGUGUGACGCCUGCCCGGUGCCGGAAGGUUAAUUGAUGGGGUUAGCGCAAGCGAAGCUCUUGAUCGAAGCCCCGGUAAACGGCGGCCGUAACUAUAACGGUCCUAAGGUAGCGAAAUUCCUUGUCGGGUAAGUUCCGACCUGCACGAAUGGCGUAAUGAUGGCCACGCUGUCUCCACCCGAGACUCAGUGAAAUUGAAAUCGCUGUGAAGAUGCAGUGUACCCGCGGCUAGACGGAAAGACCCCGUGAACCUUUACUACAGCUUGGCACUGAACAUUGAACCUACAUGUGUAGGAUAGGUGGGAGGCUAUGAAGACGUGACGCCAGUUGCGUUGGAGCCGUCCUUGAAAUACCACCCUUGUAUGUUUGAUGUUCUAACUUAGACCCAUUAUCUGGGUUGAGGACAGUGCCUGGUGGGUAGUUUGACUGGGGCGGUCUCCUCCCAAAGAGUAACGGAGGAGCACGAAGGUGGGCUAAUCACGGUUGGACAUCGUGAGGUUAGUGCAAUGGCAUAAGCCCGCUUAACUGCGAGAAUGACGGUUCGAGCAGGUGCGAAAGCAGGUCAUAGUGAUCCGGUGGUUCUGUAUGGAAGGGCCAUCGCUCAACGGAUAAAAGGUACUCCGGGGAUAACAGGCUGAUACCGCCCAAGAGUUCAUAUCGACGGCGGUGUUUGGCACCUCGAUGUCGGCUCAUCACAUCCUGGGGCUGAAGUCGGUCCCAAGGGUAUGGCUGUUCGCCAUUUAAAGUGGUACGCGAGCUGGGUUUAGAACGUCGUGAGACAGUUCGGUCCCUAUCUGCCGUGGGCGUUGGAAGAUUGAAGGGGGCUGCUCCUAGUACGAGAGGACCGGAGUGGACGAACCUCUGGUGUUCGGGUUGUGUCGCCAGACGCAUUGCCCGGUAGCUAAGUUCGGAAUUGAUAAGCGCUGAAAGCAUCUAAGCGCGAAGCGAGCCCUGAGAUGAGUCUUCCCUGACAGUUUAACUGUCCUAAAGGGUUGUUCGAGACUAGAACGUUGAUAGGCAGGGUGUGUAAGCGUUGUGAGGCGUUGAGCUAACCUGUACUAAUUGCCCGUGAGGCUUAACCAUACAACACCCAAGGGGUUUUGUA
This 2915-nucleotide ribosomal RNA is filed under the name Vibrio cholerae O1 str. KW3. RNAcentral's name for it is "bacterial LSU rRNA". It matches the Rfam family "Bacterial large subunit ribosomal RNA". Lineage: Bacteria; Pseudomonadati; Pseudomonadota; Gammaproteobacteria; Vibrionales; Vibrionaceae. The record is from RNAcentral.